Molecule: ribosomal RNA, 252 nt
Filed under: uncultured bacterium
Lineage: Bacteria
Description: partial 16S ribosomal RNA
Rfam family: Bacterial small subunit ribosomal RNA
Source: RNAcentral
UACGUAGGGCGCAAGCGUUAUCCGGAAUUAUUGGGCGUAAAGAGCUCGUAGGCGGUUUGUCGCGUCUGCCGUGAAAGUCCGGGGCUCAACUCCGGAUCUGCGGUGGGUACGGGCAGACUAGAGUGAUGUAGGGGAGACUGGAAUUCUGGUGUAGCGGUGAAAUGCGCAGAUAUCAGGAGGAACACCGAUGGCGAAGGCAGGUCUCUGGGCAUUAACUGACGCUGAGGAGCGAAAGCAUGGGGAGCGAACAGG